This 253-nucleotide ribosomal RNA is filed under the name uncultured bacterium. RNAcentral describes it as "partial 16S ribosomal RNA". It matches the Rfam family "Bacterial small subunit ribosomal RNA", at positions 524 to 776 of the family's 1533-position model. The record is from RNAcentral.
UACGUAGGGUGCAAGCGUUAAUCGGAAUUACUGGGCGUAAAGCGUGCGCAGGCGGUUUUGUAAGUCUGAUGUGAAAUCCCCGGGCUCAACCUGGGAAUUGCAUUGGAGACUGCAAGGCUAGAAUCUGGCAGAGGGGGGUAGAAUUCCACGUGUAGCAGUGAAAUGCGUAGAGAUGUGGUGGAACACCGAUGGCGAAGGCAGCCCCCUGGGUCAAGAUUGACGCUCAUGCACGAAAGCGUGGGGAGCAAACAGG